Molecule: ribosomal RNA, 497 nt
Filed under: uncultured bacterium
Lineage: Bacteria
Description: partial 16S ribosomal RNA
Rfam family: Bacterial small subunit ribosomal RNA
Source: RNAcentral
GACGAACGCUGGCGGCGUGCCUAAUACAUGCAAGUUGAGCGCUGAAGGUUGGUACUUGUACCAACUGGAUGAGCAGCGAACGGGUGAGUAACGCGUGGGGAAUCUGCCUUUGAGCGGGGGACAACAUUUGGAAACGAAUGCUAAUACCGCAUAAAAACUUUAAACACAAGUUUUAAGUUUGAAAGAUGCAAUUGCAUCACUCAAAGAUGAUCCCGCGUUGUAUUAGCUAGUUGGUGAGGUAAAGGCUCACCAAGGCGAUGAUACAUAGCCGACCUGAGAGGGUGAUCGGCCACAUUGGGGCUGAGACACUGCCCAAACUCCUACGGGAGGCAACAGUAGGGAAUCUUCGGCAAUGGACGAGAGUCUGACCGAGCAACGCCGCGUGAGUGAAGAAGGUUUUCGGAUCGUAAAACUCUGUUGGUAGAGAAGAACGUUGGUGAGAGUGGAAAGCUCAUCAAGUGACGGUAACUACCCAGAAAGGGACGGCUAACUACGUG